UACGUAGGCGGAAAAUUAAGUCAGUAGUGAAAUCCUGCAGCUUAACUGUAGAACUGUUAUUGGUACUGGUUUUCUUGAAUAUAGUUGAGGUAGGCGGAAUGUGUAAUGUAGCGGUGAAAUGCUUAGAUAUUACACAGAACACCGAUUGCGAAGGCAGCUUACUAAGCUAUGAUUGACGCUGAGGUACGAAAGCGUGGGGAGCGAACAGGAUUAGAUACCCUGGUAGUCC
This 229-nucleotide ribosomal RNA is filed under the name uncultured bacterium. Its description in RNAcentral is "partial 16S ribosomal RNA". It matches the Rfam family "Bacterial small subunit ribosomal RNA", at positions 568 to 796 of the family's 1533-position model. The record is from RNAcentral.